This 30-nucleotide non-coding RNA is filed under the name Mus musculus (house mouse). Lineage: Eukaryota; Metazoa; Chordata; Mammalia; Rodentia; Muridae. The record is from RNAcentral.
UGUGCUUAUUUGUGAUUAAAUUGCACCCGA